Molecule: ribosomal RNA, 491 nt
Filed under: uncultured bacterium
Lineage: Bacteria
Description: partial 16S ribosomal RNA
Rfam family: Bacterial small subunit ribosomal RNA
Source: RNAcentral
GUGAACGCUGGCGGUAGGCCUAACACCUUCAAGUCGCACCGCAGCACAGUAAGAGCUUGCUCUUACGGGUGGCGAGUGGCGGACGGGUGAGGAAUACAUCGGAAUCUACUUUUUCGUGGGGGAUAACGUAGGGAAACUUACGCUAAUACCGCAUACGACCUACGGGUGAAAGCAGGGGAUCUUCGGACCUUGCGCGAUUGAAUGAGCCGAUGUCGGAUUAGCUAGUUGGCGGGGUAAAGGCCCACCAAGGCGACGAUCCGUAGCUGGUCUGAGAGGAUGAUCAGCCACACUGGAACUGAGACACGGUCCAGACUCCUACGGGAGGCAGCAGUGGGGAAUAUUGGACAAUGGGCGCAAGCCUGAUCCAGCCAUACCGCGUGGGUGAAGAAGGCCUUCGGGUUGUAAAGCCCUUUUGUUGGGAAAGAAAAGCAGCAGGUUAAUACCCCGCUGUUCUGACGGUACCCAAAGAAUAAGCACCGGCUAACUUCGUG